RNAcentral lists this ribosomal RNA (454 nucleotides) under uncultured Alistipes sp. RNAcentral's name for it is "partial 16S ribosomal RNA". It matches the Rfam family "Bacterial small subunit ribosomal RNA", at positions 341 to 792 of the family's 1533-position model. The record is from RNAcentral. Lineage: Bacteria; Pseudomonadati; Bacteroidota; Bacteroidia; Bacteroidales; Rikenellaceae.
ACGGAAGGCAGCAGUGGGGAAUAUUGGUCAAUGGACGGAAGUCUGAACCAGCCAAGUCGCGUGCGGGAUGAAGGCCCUACGGGUCGUAAACCGCUUUUGUACGGGGAUAAAGUCACCCACGUGUGGGUGUUCGUAGGUACCGUAAGAAUAAGGAUCGGCUAACUCCGUGCCAGCAGCCGCGGUAAUACGGAGGAUCCGAGCGUUAUCCGGAUUUAUUGGGUUUAAAGGGUGCGCAGGCGGGCUGCUAAGUCUCCGGUGAAAUGUCAGGGCUCAACCUUGGCACUGCCGGAGAUACUGGCGGCCUUGAGAGUGGCGGAGGUAUCCGGAAUGUGUGGUGUAGCGGUGAAAUGCAUAGAUAUCACACAGAACACCGAUUGCGAAGGCAGGAUACCAUACCAUAUCUGACGCUCAGGCACGAAAGCGUGGGGAUCGAACAGGAUUAGAUACCCUGGUA